This 443-nucleotide ribosomal RNA is filed under the name uncultured bacterium. Its description in RNAcentral is "partial 16S ribosomal RNA". It matches the Rfam family "Bacterial small subunit ribosomal RNA", at positions 338 to 795 of the family's 1533-position model. The record is from RNAcentral.
CCUACGGGUGGCUGCAGUGGGGAAUAUUGGGCAAUGGAGGAAACUCUGACGCAGCAACGCCGCGUGCAUGAUGAAGGUCUUCGGUUUGUAAAGUUCUUUUCUAAGGGAAGAAGAUAGUGAUCGUACCUUAGGAAUAAGCCUCGACUAACGACGUGCCAGCAGCCGUGGUAAUACGUAGGAGGCAAGUGUUAUCCGGUAUGACGGGGCGGAAGGGGAGCGUCGGUGGUUUGAUAAGUUUGUAGCGAAACUCCGAGGCUCAACCCCGGCACUACGACCAAUACUGUUGGACUUGAGUGCAGGAGAGGCAACUGGAAUUCCUAGUGUAGCGGUGGAAUGCGUAGAUAUUAGGAGGAACACCAGUGGCGAAGGCGAGUUGCUGGACUGUAACUGACACUGAGGCACGAAAGCGUGGGGAGCAAACAGGAUUAGAUACCCGAGUAGUC